GCCAUUAAACCAGAAGAAAAAGAAACAGAACCAGCGGAGCUAAUCGAGCAAUAAUAUCGGAUAAUAUUUAAAACUAUGGACAGAAUAGAAGACCAGAUUAAGGCGGAUGAAGACAAAAAUCUACAGUUUAAAAGUAGUUGAAGAUGUUUAUUGGGGACUUUGAGGACAGGCUUUCAACAUCAGCACCGGUGACCUCUGUCUCAUCGUCCACAUCUGACCCAACUUCGUCUCAGGAUCCCCUUUAGCCUUCGCCACAUCCGACUCCAGCAGCGAUCACAUCGGGCAUCUCCAUGGGUGGAAACGAAGGAGGUGGACGUGGACUGGACCGAUGGGGCCUCUUCGGGGCGCGUCCCAGCGUGCAGAAAUCGCCCACCGACCCCGGCUCCGAUUCCAACACCUCGAGUUUCAGUCUGCAGUCGUACUUCGGGUUUCAGAAGUCCACAACCCUGGAUGGCAUCAAGACCCAAGUGAACCUCACGGUUGAAGACCCCACCAACUUCAAGUCUCCUAACCUGGAGGUGACUGGGGUGGAGGGAAAAAAGGCGUCUGCACAUAAGCUCAAACAUCGCGACAUGAACAUUCUCACUCCGUCCGGCUUCUGACAUCGGCCUCUAUGUUUUUAUUUAUUUAUUUUUCUUCCUUCAGACCGCUCAGAUCUUUUUUUUUUUUUUUUUCCCCCUCCCACCUCUUGCUCGCUCUGCAGAAAACCUUCACACACCAAACACAGGCUAAGUCAUGUAGCGUUUGUGAAACCGUAUCUUUCUUAGGUGCCAAAUUUCUUUCAGCAGUUGGACGUAUUGGUGAUUGAUUAACCCGAUGUUUCAGUUUCAGCUGACUGAGAUUGUGCAACGUCACCUGAUAGCCUCAUAAAGGAAGAUGUGAAAUCAUCGACUACAGCGUGAGCAUGAGCAUUUAGAAACUCGGCUGCUUUUUUUUUUUUUAGGAAUGUACAACAUUUUAUUAAAACCGUAUUAAACAGGGUAUUACACUGUUGCACAAGAAACCUGCUUUCACAGCACGACUUCCAACACCGUGAGGGCUCCGAUUUGUAAGUAGUACCGAUGUUCUGCUUGUUGGUUUGGUUGUCCAUAGAAUCUUUUUUUUUUCCCCUCCUCCCCCAGCAUAUAUCUAUGCAGAUGUCUCUAGGGUUUUUGCAGCAUCAUGGUUUCACGGUUGACGUAAAAAAAAAAAUACAGAAGCUAAUUUCCGUACUCUUGUUUCCUCGAUGCCACUGUGAUGAAAAAACGUCCAAGAUUUAUUAAAAAAUAAUAAUUUAACUCUGAUUACAGGAUUCCAAGUCUGAAACGAGAACCGUUUUCCGACACCUUUGACGUCAAAACAUUGUCGGUGCGCAGAGUCAUGGUCACUUCCUGUUCGUUAAAAUGACUUCGUAAUGCAUGUAACUUUUGUUUCUGUGACAAGGUGUUGAUUCUCUUGAGCAAAGAAUACCAACAGAUCAAACGUCUUCGUUUUUAAUCGCAAGUCAUGCGGAAAUAAUUUGUGGCAAUCGUUGACAUUCCGAGACGAACCACGUAAAUACAGUCUCUCCCUUUAGCUGGCUGUUGGAUCGUAUUUAAAGUGAGCCAUGCCCAAAAAUAAAAAUUCUACUUUUGAAAUUUCCGAGUACAAUAAUUCGCAGACGGAUUUGAUGCAUACACAUGGAAGGAUUGUGCCACGUCGAACGUCCAGGAAGUAUCUAAUCUGAACUGACGUACGGGUAAAGAUUAUUCCAUCCUGUAGGAAACGAAGCUCCUAGUAUAUUACACAACUUUUAAUUCUCUCCUCUUUUUACUCCAGGCAUUCUGACACCGUGAAAACUAUAUAAAAUGGACAAGAAAUACGAAUGCCAUAGUAUAUUUCCACAUAGAAAUCAUGUUUACAUUUUUGAACUUAAUACAGAUAAUUUCAGUAAACUUAAAUCAUGAAUUUUUACACGAAAUUAGCCUUUUAAACUAUUAUGAGUUGUAGCUCUUAUUUAAAUAAAAAUAAUGACCGUUUCCUUCCUUUUUUAAAUAAAAUGAACCGUUCUUUUUACAAUGAAUACACCAUUAGUCUCCUUCUGCUUCCAAGGGCGCCAAGUUUGAGCUCUGUUUGCUCGCAGCCUAUCUUCCACGCGCACCUCGCAGUGACAGUCCUUGCAUGCGACAUACAAACGAGACAAAAAUGAAGCGAACCACAAUAAAAUAACCUCUCACAAGUUUCAACACAGAAUACAAGUGAAUAAUUUGUUUGCAUGUUUUACCAACUCUGGAGCAGCAAGAGCAUGUCGUUACAGUGAGACGGGAGCAGGAAGUCUAGCGUCAGCAAUAACAGGAAGUAGUAGUAGAAGAAGAGCGGUGCUCUUCAAAAUAAAAGCACAAAAACGUCAAGUGGCAGAGCCGCAUCGUUUACCAUAAACAAAUUAGCUUCCAUUUACAUAUGUUCAUGUGACUUACUACUACUCACAGCCACGCCCACUCAAACAAGCACUCAUGAUGAUAAAGGUUCUGAGUGCGAAUUUGAAUUCUGGGUAAAAUGUUCUAUUUCUAUUGCUGUUGAGUUUCGAGACGUUUCCCUGCUGCACACACACCGCGUAUCCUGUGUGUAAAUGUUCUGCCGAGAUAGAAAGCGUCCCGCGUUUUAUGAUUCCGGAGAUUGUCAAAGCAAGUGAGCAACAAUAUCACGUGACCACCGUGGGGCGUUUUGACCUACUUUUAACCAAAACAAGUCGGCAUGGGCAAACAUAGCGGACUCGUCUCUCCCUCCAGCGGAAAAGAAAAGGAAAGCCUGCCUAGUGAGUGCAACUGCAAGAUAGAUAGAGCAAGGUUAGAUGAUGUCAUUAUUCUGGACCGAUAACUAAAUCAUUCUAGCUAGCGCUUAGCUAUCUUAGCCUUAGAAUGCAUGAGCUCGACUGCACGGUAGCGAGUAUGGAGUUAUACACCUAAUGUUUUGAUCUUGCACAGAAAGAAGCGGGAACAGAGAAAAGAGAUAUUCGUCUUUUUUUGUUUCACGGAUCUAUUCGCAAAUAUCAAACAUCCCUGUGACUCAAAACUCUCCGAGGUUGAUGCAGAGUCACAAUGUUUCCUUGGUGUGACGUAGUUUUAGUUAUGCUAAGUAGUCAAAGCUCCUCCCUCGCGUUCGGCUGUUUUCUGUUUCUGUACUGUUUACCUCAAGAGGGAGGAAAAUGGUCCCAAAAUGGAGGAAAGCGACCUCCAGCAGGCUUUCGUCUAAACCGGGGAACAGGGGCGCUGCGCCCUCUUACACUCGGCAUGCGCCCCUUUACUGAAAUGCCGAUUGAACCCCAAGUCACACUUGGGCCAUGCGCUUAUAUGCUACUGCACAACAUGCAGUCUUUCUCAAAACGAUCUUUUCUCCGUGAAAACAUCCCAGCAACACCACGUGGCAAUGUGUCUGAUCAUCAAAUACGUUAUAAUUACUCCAAAAAUAUUCCAAUCAUAGUAGAUACACCGCCAGACGGUGCAAAAACAAUCCGAAUUGGCGUUUUCCAGACUGAGGCACCAUGUUGCUUAGUUGUUUACUUGUCGCGGCUGCUCUCGCGAGAUUUGACAUGGAUUACAUACAAGGUCAGCUGACUUGUAGAGCGAGAUUUCUCGAGACUGAAUGACCUUUCACCCACCGGCACGGGAGCUUUUGACAGAAGUAGUUCGCGAGUUGUUUUUGUUGACACUUGGGCAUUUAAAGAUGUCAUCCCACGGCACAAAGCGGAAGAAAGCCAAAGACUGUCCGGGGCAGAAGAUGAUUACUUCUUUCUUUUUCAACGUUGGCAGACAAUUUGUUACAAUUUCCCUUUCAGAUAGCCUCAGAAUGUCCCAAUGUAGCCUCAAUUUUUCAAAGGCUGCAGAGGGGGGACGGACAACCGGCACCAUCCCCCCCCCGUCGCUUCGCUCCCUCGCCAUGGUGAGCGCCCUCAUACUAGAUUUUUCUAGAAAAAACCCUGCUCAGGACAUCAAAAUGAUCACCUCAUCGACAUAUUGUUCUUGCGAGACAGGAAAAUGCCAUGGACGAUAAGUAUUGUGUUAAAGCAAGCUGUAUGUAGGUUGCGUGACAAGCACAUGUACGUCGUGAAGACACAGUACUACUUUGUGGUUCAUCCAGAGAUUUUUUUUUUUUUUUAAAAACACCCUUUUCCUGGAUAUGUUAAUUAACUUGUGUGUGUGUGUGUCUUAUCCUACAGAAAGAUGGUCAUAUUCACUUGCUGGGCACUUUAAUAGGAACUUGUUCUUGAUUCUAAGAUCCCUGUUCUUGGCUGCAGGAGUGGAACCCAGUAUGGUCUUCCAUCAGCUGUUGCAUGCUGAGAUGCUUUUCUGCUCACCGCGGUUCUAAAGAGUGAUUUUAUAUGAGUUGCUCUAUCCUUCCUGGCAAAAACAACCCCCCCCCAAAUCUGUCCAUUUUCCUCGGACCUCUCUUAUCAACAAGGUGUUUGUUUCCACCCACAGAACUGUUGCCCACUCACUCGAUGUUUUUUGUUUUUCGCACCAUUCUGUUGUGUGUGAAAACCCCAGGAGGAGAUCAGCAGUUUCUGAAAUGCUCAAACCAAACCAAAAAUACUCAUCUGGCUCAAACCAGCAGUCAUGCCACAGUGAAAGAAAGUAAGUCACACUUCACUUUGAGAUCACAAUUAUUCUUUUCAGCUUGGUUGAUAUACCGUGAAACCAUGAUGUUUUUAGACACGCCUCGCACAGACGCCAUUUUCCCACUGCGACGUGUGUUACACCAGCGCUGGAAUCCCUCGUACUGGUUUGCGUGCUAGGUUUAUAUCGUUCUAGCUGUUAAGGUCUGAUGAUAGAGUGCAGCAUGAGAUCGAGGUGUUUGUGUCCCUGGUUCUUCUGUCCAUAAGCAAUAGCAUAUCGUAGGAUGUAUUUACAUAUUUUAUUACAUACAUAUGCUAUUGUUUUGUUGUUUUGGAUUUUUUUUUUUAACAAGCACUCCUUUUCUCACAAGUUUGCCUUUUUUUUUCUCCCCUCCCUGAGACAUUUCCAAACACUCUGUGAAUGUAAUCUAUUUUGUAGUUCAAAUCCUGCUAUAUGAUGUUCCUCACACCAACUGCUUUUGUACUGAUAGAUCUUAAAUAUAUAUAUAUUUUUUCCAUUUAAUGUUACGACUGGUGUGAUUGGCUUUUUUUGCAUUCCAGUUUUCUCUCUCUCACGCACACACUUGCAUCACUUAUAUAUUCACGUCUUGUUUUAGAUGGAGAUUUGUCUGCCACGCAGCUGUUCCAUUUGAGUCUGAUGCCUCAAAUAAAAUUAAGUAACAAUCCCA
Molecule: long non-coding RNA, 5259 nt
Organism: Neoarius graeffei (lesser salmon catfish)
Lineage: Eukaryota; Metazoa; Chordata; Actinopteri; Siluriformes; Ariidae
Exons: 4
Source: RefSeq, a predicted model, not a curated record